RNAcentral lists this long non-coding RNA (1035 nucleotides) under Citrus sinensis (sweet orange). RNAcentral's name for it is "long non-coding RNA (CSIN_LNC001441)". Lineage: Eukaryota; Viridiplantae; Streptophyta; Magnoliopsida; Sapindales; Rutaceae. The record is from RNAcentral.
CUUGACCUUUAUGAAUCACCGGGAUACAUAGUACUUAGGCAGAUGUUUGAUCUUUUUAGAUUUGAAUGAUGAAAAUCUAACAUGAAAAUUCAUAAAAGAGAGAGAAAUUACAAUGAAAGACAAAUUACCCAAAAAAAAAAAAAAAGGACAACGUCAAACAACUUUAAUGAUUUAAAUAAAAGGGGUAACAAAAUUAUAGCUAAAAUCAUACCGGCAUAAUUUGCAAAUCCGAUCACUAAUCACGUGAAUUGGGGAAAAAAAAAAAAACCACGCAAACGGUAUCUACUUUAGCGUUUAACGGCGAAAAAUGUUGAACAAUGUUAAUAUGCAUUAAAAUUUAAAACCACUUCCGAAGGCAGAUUCGGGUAUAGACAAGUAGGGAGCACUAACUUUUAACUUUUUGCUUUAGCAGGACAAUUUAAUUUCGUUUUCAUUUUUUUUUUAUGCAUAAACAAAACAAAACGUUCAGUUUCAGUUAUGCUUAAAUUGUAAAACAGGAGACGGAGAGGAGAUGUCCGCUGCCCGCAUGACUCGGUUCCCCUUUGUUCUGACUCCGAUUUCGUUUUUAUUGAAACCGACAAACUCCUGGUCCCCGCCGCUUAUCUGGCCUUGGCCAUUUACGUAGUUGCAUCUAUAUGAAUCUCAUUUGCUGAAGCUGGAAAAGAAAAGAUCGAAAAAUAAAAUAAAUAAGCCAAACCGUUCAAAUUAUAAAUACGAUAAAAUAAAUAAAUGCGACCCGAAAAUUAUUGCGAGACCCAUUUCACUUGUGGCAACAUUGACGACGUACGUUGCGUUGUUGAUCCAUCACAUAUGCUGUCACAGGGUUGUCCUCUUUGCGUUUGGGGCCAAAUAUUGCAUGGGUUAUUAAUUUUGUUGCUAGAUAUUUCAUAUUUGUGUUGUUAAUUUCUCGAGUCGAUGUUGUGUUUCUAUUUUCUAAGCUUGCAUGUGGCAAGCUAGCUCACUUCAUUACACGGAUUUUUCUCAGCUUUGUCCCAGCCACCGUUUUGUAAAAUAUCUUAAAAGCAACUCCAAAAG